UGGGGAAUCUUAGACAAUGGGGGCAACCCUGAUCUAGCCAUGCCGCGUGAGUGAUGAAGGCCUUAGGGUUGUAAAGCUCUUUCAGCUGUGAAGAUAAUGACGGUAGCAGCAGAAGAAGUCCCGGCUAACUCCGUGCCAGCAGCCGCGGUAAUACGGAGGGGACUAGCGUUGUUCGGAAUUACUGGGCGUAAAGCGCACGUAGGCGGAUCGGAAAGUUGGGGGUGAAAUCCCGGGGCUCAACCCCGGAACUGCCUUCAAAACUAUUGGUCUGGAGUUCGAGAGAGGUGAGUGGAAUACCGAGUGUAGAGGUGAAAUUCGUAGAUAUUCGGUGGAACACCAGUGGCGAAGGCGGCUCACUGGCUCGAUACUGACGCUGAGGUGCGAAAGCGUGGGGAGCAAACAG
This 403-nucleotide ribosomal RNA is filed under the name uncultured organism. RNAcentral describes it as "bacterial SSU rRNA". It matches the Rfam family "Bacterial small subunit ribosomal RNA", at positions 355 to 775 of the family's 1533-position model. The record is from RNAcentral.